UCCCCUUUAGUUUUUCCUUCAAAAAAGCAGUAUUGGCAAGAACCGAGCUCAAGCUGCCAUGGAAUUCUUACAAGAACUAAAUAGCGAUGUCUCUGGAAGUUUUGUGGAAGAGAGUCCAGAAAACCUUCUAGACAAUGAUCCUUCAUUUUUCUGUAGGUUUACUGUUGUGGUUACAACUCAGCUUCUUGAAAGGUAAAUUUUAGAUGUUAAU
Phodopus roborovskii (desert hamster) is the source of this 211-nucleotide long non-coding RNA. RefSeq lists it as uncharacterized. NCBI's taxonomy places the organism in Eukaryota, Metazoa, Chordata, Mammalia, Rodentia, Cricetidae. The transcript is spliced from 3 exons. The record is from RefSeq and is a predicted model, not a curated record.